UGACUUUAUUAAUGUUUAUUUGGGUUUAGUAUUCUAAUGUUAUAUAGAGUUAAUUACAGGUAGACACUCUCACUGAUCACUGACUUUAUUAAUGUUUAUUUGGGUUUAGUAUUCUAAUGUUAUAUAGAGUUAAUUACAGGUAGACACUCUCACUGAUCACUGACUUUAUUAAUGUUUAUUUGGGUUUAGUAUUCUAAUGUUAUAUAGAGUUAAUUACAGGUAGACACUCUCACUGAUCACUGACUUUAUUAAUGUUUAUUUGGGUUUAGUAUUCUAAUGUUAUAUAGAGUUAAUUACAGGUAGACACUAACUCUCACUGAUCACUGACUUUAUUAAUGUUUAUUUGGGUUUAAUAUUCUAAUGUUAUAUAGAGUUAAUUACAGGUAGACACUCUCACUGAUCACUGACUUUAUUAAUGUUUAUUUGGGUUUAGUAUUCUAAUGUUAUAUAGAGUUAAUUACAGGUAGACACUCUCACUGAUCAUUGACUUUAUUAAUGUUUAUUUGGGUUUAGUAUUCUAAUGUUAUAUAGAGUUAAUUACAGGUAGACACUAACUCUCACUGAUCACUGACUUUAUUAAUGUUUAUUUGGGUUUAGUAUUCUAAUGUUAUAUAGAGUUAAUUACAGGUAGACACUCUCACUGAUCAUUGACUUUAUUAAUGUUUAUUUGGGUUUAGUAUUCUAAUGUUAUAUAGAGUUAAUUACAGGUAGACACUAACUCUCACUGAUCACUGACUUUAUUAAUGUUUAUUUGGGUUUAGUAUUCUAAUGUUAUAUAGAGUUAAUUACAGGUAGACACUAACUCUCA
Molecule: long non-coding RNA, 808 nt
Organism: Astyanax mexicanus (Mexican tetra)
Lineage: Eukaryota; Metazoa; Chordata; Actinopteri; Characiformes; Acestrorhamphidae
Exons: 3
Source: RefSeq, a predicted model, not a curated record